Molecule: ribosomal RNA, 794 nt
Filed under: uncultured bacterium
Lineage: Bacteria
Description: bacterial SSU rRNA
Rfam family: Bacterial small subunit ribosomal RNA
Source: RNAcentral
CGGGAGCAAUCCUGGUGGCGAGUGGCGAACGGGUGAGUAAUAUAUCGGAACGUGCCCAGUCGUGGGGGAUAACGUAGCGAAAGCUACGCUAAUACCGCAUACGAUCUACGGAUGAAAGCGGGGGAUCGCAAGACCUCGCGCGAUUGGAGCGGCCGAUAUCAGAUUAGCUAGUUGGUGGGGUAAAAGCCCACCAAGGCGACGAUCUGUAGCUGGUCUGAGAGGACGACCAGCCACACUGGAACUGAGACACGGUCCAGACUCCUACGGGAGGCAGCAGUGGGGAAUUUUGGACAAUGGGCGCAAGCCUGAUCCAGCAAUGCCGCGUGCAGGAUGAAGGCCUUCGGGUUGUAAACUGCUUUUGUACGGAACGAAACGGCUCUUUCUAAUAAAGAGGGCUAAUGACGGUACCGUAAGAAUAAGCACCGGCUAACUACGUGCCAGCAGCCGCGGUAAUACGUAGGGUGCGAGCGUUAAUCGGAAUUACUGGGCGUAAAGCGUGCGCAGGCGGUUAUAUAAGACAGAUGUGAAAUCCCCGGGCUCAACCUGGGACCUGCAUUUGUGACUGUAUAGCUAGAGUACGGUAGAGGGGGAUGGAAUUCCGCGUGUAGCAGUGAAAUGCGUAGAUAUGCGGAGGAACACCGAUGGCGAAGGCAAUCCCCUGGACCUGUACUGACGCUCAUGCACGAAAGCGUGGGGAGCAAACAGGAUUAGAUACCCUGGUAGUCCACGCCCUAAACGAUGUCAACUGGUUGUUGGGUCUUCACUGACUCAGUAACGAAGCUAACGCGUGAAGU